This 203-nucleotide long non-coding RNA is filed under the name Elaeis guineensis (African oil palm). Its description in RNAcentral is "long non-coding RNA (EGUI_LNC073840)". Lineage: Eukaryota; Viridiplantae; Streptophyta; Magnoliopsida; Arecales; Arecaceae. The record is from RNAcentral.
CGUUGCACACUCAUUAAAUUAUUUCUACAGCUACCAUCUCAUCUUCUCUUCAUCUCUGGCACCUUCGCUUAAGUCAUGCUUCUCUUAGUAAACUUCGUCAACUAGCAUCUAGCGGUUUGUUAGAGUCUAUAAAUAAUAAGUCUUUCAACUAUUUAUAUUGUCAACUUGCAAAACAACUAGCACUAUCUUUUACUAAAAGUGAC